ACUUUAAAGGAAACUAGCAACCCAUAAC
This 28-nucleotide transfer RNA is filed under the name Rhineura floridana. RNAcentral's name for it is "partial tRNA-Leu". Lineage: Eukaryota; Metazoa; Chordata; Lepidosauria; Squamata; Rhineuridae. The record is from RNAcentral.